RNAcentral lists this ribosomal RNA (376 nucleotides) under uncultured bacterium. RNAcentral's name for it is "bacterial SSU rRNA". It matches the Rfam family "Bacterial small subunit ribosomal RNA", at positions 523 to 898 of the family's 1533-position model. The record is from RNAcentral.
AUACGUAGGGGGCAAGCGUUAUCCGGAUUUACUGGGUGUAAAGGGAGCGUAGGCGGCAAGACAAGUCUGAUGUGAAAGCCCGGGGCUCAACCCCGGGACUGCAUUGGAAACUGUUUAGCUAGAGUGUCGGAGAGGUAAGUGGAAUUCCUAGUGUAGCGGUGAAAUGCGUAGAUAUUAGGAGGAACAUCAGUGGCGAAGGCGACUUACUGGACGAUAACUGACGCUGAGGCUCGAAAGCGUGGGGAGCAAACAGGAUUAGAUACCCUGGUAGUCCACGCUGUAAACGAUGAAUACUAGGUGUCGGGUGGCAAAGCCAUUCGGUGCCGCAGCUAACGCAUUAAGUUGACCGCCUGGGGAGUACGGCCGCAAGGUUAAA